UGGGGAAUUUUGGACAAUGGGCGAAAGCCUGAUCCAGCAAUGCCGCGUGUGUGAAGAAGGCCUUCGGGUUGUAAAGCACUUUUGUCCGGAAAGAAAUCCUUGGCUCUAAUACAGUCGGGGGAUGACGGUACCGGAAGAAUAAGCACCGGCUAACUACGUGCCAGCAGCCGCGGUAAUACGUAGGGUGCAAGCGUUAAUCGGAAUUACUGGGCGUAAAGCGUGCNCAGGCGGUUUGCUAAGACCGAUGUGAAAUCCCCGGGCUCAACCUGGGAACUGCAUUGGUGACUGGCAGGCUAGAGUAUGGCAGAGGGGGGUAGAAUUCCACGUGUAGCAGUGAAAUGCGUAGAGAUGUGGAGGAAUACCGAUGGCGAAGGCAGCCCCCUGGGCCAAUACUGACGCUCAUGCACGAAAGCGUGGGGAGCAAAACAGGAUUAGAUACCCUGGUAGUCCACGCCCUAAACGAUGUCAACUAGUUGUUGGGGAUUCAUUUCCUUAGUAACGUAGCUAACGCGUGAAGUUGACCGCCUGGGGAGUACGGUCGC
RNAcentral lists this ribosomal RNA (542 nucleotides) under uncultured bacterium. RNAcentral describes it as "partial 16S ribosomal RNA". It matches the Rfam family "Bacterial small subunit ribosomal RNA", at positions 355 to 889 of the family's 1533-position model. The record is from RNAcentral.